This 495-nucleotide ribosomal RNA is filed under the name uncultured bacterium. RNAcentral describes it as "partial 16S ribosomal RNA". It matches the Rfam family "Bacterial small subunit ribosomal RNA", at positions 28 to 507 of the family's 1533-position model. The record is from RNAcentral.
GACGAACGCUGGCGGCGUGCCUAAUACAUGCAAGUAGAACGCUGAAGGAGGAGCUUGCUUCUCUGGAUGAGUUGCGAACGGGUGAGUAACGCGUAGGUAACCUGCCUGGUAGCGGGGGAUAACUAUUGGAAACGAUAGCUAAUACCGCAUAACAGUAGAUAUCGCAUGAUAUCUACUUGAAAGGUGCAAUUGCAUCACUACCAGAUGGACCUGCGUUGUAUUAGCUAGUUGGUGAGGUAACGGCUCACCAAGGCGACGAUACAUAGCCGACCUGAGAGGGUGAUCGGCCACACUGGGACUGGGACCCGGCCCAGACUCCUACGGGAGGCAGCAGUAGGGAAUCUUCGGCAAUGGACGGAAGUCUGACCGAGCAACGCCGCGUGAGUGAAGAAGGUUUUCGGAUCGUAAAGCUCUGUUGUAAGAGAAGAACGAGUGUGAGAGUGGAAAGUUCACACUGUGACGGUAUCUUACCAGAAAGGGACGGCUAACUACGUG